This is a long non-coding RNA of Suricata suricatta (meerkat), 120 nucleotides long. RefSeq lists it as uncharacterized. NCBI's taxonomy places the organism in Eukaryota, Metazoa, Chordata, Mammalia, Carnivora, Herpestidae. The transcript is spliced from 4 exons. The record is from RefSeq and is a predicted model, not a curated record.
UGCACCUGCUCAGGAAAGAGUCAAGAGGCACGGAUAUGAGUCCUUUGUCAAUGUGUGGUUUUCAGGAUUUCUCCUACCUUCAUUACUUUCUGCACAAAAUGUCCAAUCAAGAAACUAGAG